GAACCUAAAGGAAAAGCCUAGUAAACUGCACUAUUUGAUACAGCCACUAGGUGGAGCAGUCUAAAUGCAGGACAGCGCUAUCAGUUAGUGGUGAUAAUGUGCUUUCUUUCAGCAGUAAACCGAGAGACUGCAAGCAACAACUGAUUUAGUCCUGUCUUUACUUUUCCUAUUUUAACAGUAGUAAAACCGAGAGACUGCAAGCAACAACUGAUUUAGUCCUGUCUUUACUUUUCCUAUUUUAACAGAUUAAACACUAUCUUCUGUUUAUGGACUCUCUGCCCGAGACCCGUAACACAUGCACACUUUAUUUUAUCCAUAACAGAACUUCUUACCUUCAUAGCCAAGCUCAGACCGCCGCUAGAAGCGGCGGAACCCAUAUUUAUAUCUGCAGGUGACCCAAUCACCAGAAACCUAGCUCUGGCUAUGUAUGCAUACAGCCAUACAGAAUACAACAUUUAUUUUAAACUUGUGGCAUUCAAUACACCACAUUCCUCCCCGAUUUGUGUGUGUGUAUAUAUAUAUAUAUAUAUAUAUUGUGAUAAAUGUACAGGAGUAAGUAGUAAUGCAACAUAGAAGGGUGAGGUUCUAUAGUUGCAUUGCUACAGGGCCAUUUAUCACAAAGAAUUUGGCGAUACAGCUUUAAAUUACCUCACAGAGUAGCUGCCGUAGGGCUCCACUUCUGGGAUGGCUAAAGGGGUUAAUUAAUAGCAGCUGGAAGGGGGGAGGGGAGCAUUAUAUAAGGCGGUGAAUAGCGAGAAAAAAGGGAUGAAAAAAAUCCCUGCAACACAUAACUGUGUGUUGGAACCACGAGUAAUGGACUGUUUUAUAGAGAGUCAACACAGUUAAGUUCAAGACUUUUAUUUUUAGUUGUUGGCUGGAACAAGUUCAUGGUAUUUUGAGUUGGCUGUGGAGAAAACAAGCCUUGUUCUUUUCUUUCUUUUUUACUUCAUAAAACGCUGGGAUUACUUCAUCCUCCUUGCUCAGGACUUACCUGCAGGGGGCACUCUCGAUCAUCGGUGGACCCUGGAAACUCUGAGCAGGGAUAAUACAAUUGCAAAGGCUAGAAAGGAAAAAACCUUACCGGGAGUCAUCCUGGUGGCGAGAGGUGGAAUUGCAGGCCAGCAGACUUACCAUUGACUGAACUCUUAUCACCCCAGAGUGUGUGUGGUGGUGUUUUUGUGUGUGAGUUGGGUGAGGGCUAGCCUUAACCAACUGUUAAGACUAGGGAACUGAAGCAGUUAAGACUAGGGCCCGGUGAGUGGGCUAGGUUUUUUUAUUUUCUGGCAACCCCCUGGAAAGUUGUGUUUUUUCAUUGUAAAUAAACCCUCACUUAGACUUCA
Long non-coding RNA from Acipenser ruthenus (sterlet), 1340 nucleotides. RefSeq lists it as uncharacterized. The record is from RefSeq and is a predicted model, not a curated record. NCBI's taxonomy places the organism in Eukaryota, Metazoa, Chordata, Actinopteri, Acipenseriformes, Acipenseridae. The transcript is spliced from 2 exons.